RNAcentral lists this long non-coding RNA (11383 nucleotides) under Amborella trichopoda. RNAcentral describes it as "long non-coding RNA (ATRI_LNC000917)". Lineage: Eukaryota; Viridiplantae; Streptophyta; Magnoliopsida; Amborellales; Amborellaceae. The record is from RNAcentral.
CUUCAUCUACCCCAAUCUACUUUUAUGCGAUACAUCUUUUUUAAUAUUUGCAUCCUCAUGGAUUAUCAACCCAGGUAUCGAAAAUAAUCUCUUUUAACCAAUCCUACAUAGUUGGGAUAAGACUCAGAUGAUGAUGAUAAGGUACUUCUUGGCCAUCAAUCUUAAAUAAUUUCUCGUUUCUACUCUUAUUAUUAUUAAAUUGCAUUCUAUAUAUUAUGUCUUUGGCUAAUUUUUAAAACCUUUUAAUUCUGUAGCAUCCCUUCAAAGUUCAAAUUUUGUGUAGAUGUCGUUUCUAGUCUCAUUAAUCCAAGCUAUGUCAUCUUUGAAUAGCAUACCCUACAGUACCUCAUCUUCUAGAAGUCUAGUUAACUCGUCCAUAACCAAUGUAAAGAGAUAUGAGCUCAACACUACUCCUAAUGUAGACCUACUAUCAUUGAAAAUUCACUUCUCUCUACUAGUUGUCUUUAAACUAGUUAGCGCUCCCUCUACUUACCCUUUACCAUAUCAAUAUAUCUUCUAGAGACUCAUUUCUUUUCCAUCACCCACCAAAUUAACGCUUUAGAUACUCUAUCAUAUAUUUUCUCUAAAUCAAAAAAAUGCGAUGUGGGGAUUUUUUUUCUCUUCUCAAUUGAUUAAAUAAGAAAGUGGCCUCAAUGGUUGACCUCUCGGGCAAAAAUCUGAAUUGAUUUUCAAAUACACUUGUUUCAUGUCGUAGUCAUUGCUCAAUUACCUUAUCCCAUAGUUUCAUAAUAUGGUUUAUAAGUUUGGUCAUUCGAUAGUUAAUACAACUCUGGACGUCUCCUUUGUUCUUGUAAAUAGAUACUAUAAUAUUUUUUCUCCAUUCCUUUGGCAUUAUGAUAUUUUUGUUGUUUUCAAAAUCUUGUUGAAUAGCUUGAUCAACCAGUAUAUGUCAAUAUCUCCCAUGCACUUCCAAACUUUUGUUGGUAUAUACGUUUUGGUCCUAGAGCCUUUCCUAUCUUCAUAUUUCUCAAAACUUCUUUUAUUUUAGAUAUCCUAUUCUUACGAAUGUAUAUAUAGCUUCCGACCUUAUUUAUGUCAAAGGUUCCUGCUACGGCUAUGUUCCUAAAGUGGUUGUCAUUUUACAAUUUUCAAAAUUGAAUUCUCCACCUUUCAUUGACCUCGUCAUCCUUCACCAAGGCGUUAUAAUCCUUGCUUUUAAUGCAUUUAACAUGAUCUAGAUCCCUACACUUCAUCUCUCUCAUUUUUGCUAGUUUGAAGACAUUUUUUUCUCCUUCUGUUAUCCUCAAUUUUUGUAUAUAUCAUCAUGUCUUAAGCUUAGCCUUCCUACUUUCUUUGCGUUCCUCUUGUCGUUUCUAUACUCUUCUAAAUUCUGAUAGUUUCUAUUCCCUUGCCAAUCUUUGUAAUAUGAUUGUUUUUUUGCUAAUAGCCUUUUGAACCUCAUCAUUCCACCACCGAGUUUUAUCUGAAAGUCUUUUUCCUCUAGAUUAGCUUGAAACUUCUUUUGCCACUUUCUUAAUACAAGCAAUCAUCUCAUUUUAUGUUAUAUUAACUUUGUCCAUAGAAUUCUAUUUUCCUUCUUUCAUCAUUUUAUUCUCAAAUAAGUUUGUAAAGACUGCCAGGUUCUCCCAGGAGAGAGUUUGACGACAUAACAUAGAUUCAUUGUUUUGGAUGUUUACAUAAAGUGAUGAAAGAUGAGCAACAUUAAUAGGUGUCCAUGAUUUAAGUGAUGGAACUUAAAAAGGGAGAAACAUGAUGAUUGUUCUUCCUUCUUAACUAGAAAAAAAAAUCUUUGCGGCUUAGAUAUGAACCUCUUUUGUAAGUUAGUCAAUGGUUUUUCUCACUCUAUAUAUUAUAUGUUUUUCUCACUUUUUAUAUUACAUGUUUGCUUGCUAGGUCGUAAGUCAUAGCAAAAUCAAGAAUAACAUUACUCAUCCUAUUUCUUUCUCCAAAACCAUAUCUUAUAUGUACCAGUUUAUGUUCUCUACUAUCUUUUCCUAUAUGACUAUUUAAGUCCCCUCCUAAAAUUCCUCUCUUUAUAUUUUUUUGGGUAAUUCAGUGGGGAUUUGGGCCCCUACUCGAUUUUCAUUAAUAAUUACGAUGGUACAAUUCUUUCAUGCAAAGUCCUGGCCAUAUUAGAGGAAAUUAGAGGAGAAAUAAAAUUAGGUGGCUGGGCACGCGAAACUGUGGCCUCAGAGAGACUUGUAGUGCUCUUGGCCAAGUGAUCGGUCGUCGAGUUGGCCUUUCAGUAGACAUGCUUAAUACUCCAGGGGCGGCCAUCCAGGUGGUAAAUGCAAUUUACGGUCAUAAUACUAAGAUUCCAAGGGGGCUUAUGGCGGCCGUGAAGGGAAUGCAUUAGAAUAUGAGAAUCGCUUUCAAUGAGCAGUCGAAAGCAAUGCAGAUCAAUAGCUAGCUGAAUGCCCCUUUCAAGGGUUGAAAAUUCAGCAACAUUGUUGGAUGUGUGCCCUAGAGGAACAACGAAAGUGGUACAAAGCCCUCCCAUAUCAUUUUUGAUAAUUCUUCCACAACUAGCUGCUCUAGGGUUGUCAAGGGACGAUCCAUCAAUGUUUAGUUUAUAGAGACUUGCUGGGGGGUGGAGACCAUGAGACCAAAAUCAAAGUUUUAGGAUGCAUUGGGUGCCACUGGAUUUUGAGGUUAUUAAAUAUAGGCUUCUCUAAUGGGUUGGAAAGUCCAUCCUUUCACCUUUGCUAAGCUUGCAACAAUAGAAAUGAUCUGGUGCAACAAUUGCUCUCUUUUGGGUCUCUUUCCUUCAAAGAUACACAAAUUCAUUUCAGUACAGAGGAGCCAGAUGGUUGUGGAGAAUAGAGAGAUCCAAACAUUAUGUAAUCCUGCUAACGGAACCGGAAUUUGACUUAGCUCUCAAAUAUUGAAGGUAUUGAUGGGCAUAUAGAGAAACUUUUGCCACAUCGCCACAUAAUAGACCGCCAGAGAACUGAGAGAAAGUACAUAACAAAAUAAUAUGGUUAACAUAAUCACCUUCAGUAAGGCACAAAGGGCAACGGUGUAUUAGAUGGAUCCCUCUGCAUUGUAGUAGUUCAGAUGUAGGGAGGCGAAAAUGAAGGGCAAUCCAAGUGAACCAUUUGGCCCGAGGAUGGGAAUGAGAAGCCCAUAAAUUUUUGAAGAUCUCUCUGGUGGAGGCCUCGUCUCCAAGCGUAAGGCAGACACCAUUGUUGGGGAUUAUCAAAGAGAAAAUCAGCUAAACUAGACGUCACAAGUAGAGGCAAGUCCUUAUGUAUAUUAUGUCCAAACUCAUCCCUGAGAGAGACCUCUGAAAGCCAUGGAUCUACCCAAAAUUUGAGGGAAUUACCGUUACCCACAACCCACUUAACAUUGCGCUUGAGUCUAUUUAAACCACAAGAGAUGCCCUUCCAAGCGUGAGAUGCAUUUUUGGUUUUAGAGAGCCAUAUGGAGGAGUUUCUGAAAUACAUGUGUUGGAAAAAUCUAGAAAUAAGAGAGAAGGGGUUUGCAUCUAGCCUCCAAGCAAGCUUCAUCAUGCCAGCCAGUUUUACAUCUUGUAGAUGUCUAAUACCAAGACCACCCUCCUUAAAGGGAAGACAGAUAGUUCUAAUAUAGAAGAUGUAGUCUCUUCAUAUCUAAAGUACCUGUGCCCAAAGAAAGUUUUGCUGGCAUCUCUCUAAAAUAUUGCACGUUCGAACUGGCAAAAGGAAUGAUAGAAUCCAGUAGAUUGAGGAAGCACUUAAGGCCGAUUUAAUCAAUUGAAGUUUGCCUGCAAAAGGUAGUGUUAAAGCUUGCCAGGAGCCAAUUUUAGCAAUUGUCUUCCCCACCAAAGCCUGACAAUGGGAGUGUUUUAGAGCGUCAUGGAAGAGAGGUAACCCAAUAUAUUUCUCUGGUAGGCCCUUUUUAUGUGAUAUUCUUGGACUAGUACAUCCAUGUUCUCCCAAAAUUGUCUUUUAAUUUUAUCAUCCAGUCCUAGCUGUGACGUAUAAGCACUAUUGACAUUAAUUAUCUCGUUACCUAACACAAAUUUAAUUAAUAGGAGCAUAUUAUUGACUCUCUUAAGUUAACAUUUACUAUAGUUUCAAUUUUUGUCUACUGUUAUGCCUACGUCAUUUCCAUUAUUAUCUUUUCCUAGAUACUAAAGUUUAUAUCCAUCAUUUUCUUUAGCCAUUGCCACUUAGUUUCCUAUAGGUAACCUAUAAUAACUCUCCUCUUUUUGCCUUAUUGUAUCCACUAAACAUUUUACUUUUACAUGCUAGAGGUCUUAUAUUCCAUGUGGCUUGACGAAUUCUAUUAUGGAUUAGUUUUUUUUACUUACGCUUGUCCAAACUAGCAUGGAGCCCUUGCAUAUUUAUUAUCGUGAUUGGACGUAGUUGCAACACGUCAAUUCUAUAGAGCACCCUAGUUAACACUUGCUCUUAUCUCACUGCACUCGAGUACCGGCACAACAUGUGGCUCGCAUAGCACCAUAUCAUAAGUAUAUAAUAUUGGAUCAGAAUUCAUGAUAAAGAUGUGGUGAAUGUUUUAUGCCAAUGGCCAACCAAACACAAUCUUCCUUUCUUAUCGGGCUUGGGACCAGUAGAAUUAUAAAAACUAUCUAUUAAAAUAAUAUUAUAUGUUGCACACCAUAUAAUAUAGUAUAUAUUAAAAAAUAUGAGGGCUUGCGAAUUUCAGACAUUCGAAUUUCAAAUCUCACAGAAAAGAUUUAUUCACGCUACCAAAAAAAGCUAUAUGCUUUAUGUUAGGGUGUGGUUCUACAAGUUCCAACCUUAAACAAUCCAAUUAAGGCGCACCUUUUAACAUGACAUGUAAUUUUGGUGUAAAAAAUUCUUAAGAUUUUCUCAAAAUCUAUUUUCAUACUUACUUAUAGAAUUUUAAACUAAAAAAAUGGUUAAAAUGAAGUAGAUCUAUAAACAUAUAAGAAUCUUGAAAAUAGACGGUCUAGAUAAUGUGUUGUAAGAUGUAUUAUUUAUGGGAUUCAAUUUUUUUUUUCCAUAUUCAUACAUCUUGAUGUCGAGAUAAUCAAUUAGGGGAUUUUUCAACAUUAAAAUAACUUUUUUCGAUGGAUUUUUGAGGUACAUUUGUAGUUUUACAUUUUAAGGUUGCAACCUUAUAUAAACUUUUUCAUUUAUGUUAUUAGUUAUUUGUAUUGUAACUUAAAAAAAAAUAACCGACCAAUUUAGACCAAGAACCAGAACGUCCUUUAGGCAAUUUCUGAUCCUGAUCUAUGUACUUUAAAUCAUUGGUUUACAAUAGGGGUGGCGAUGGGCUAGACCCGAAAAAUGAUAUAGCAUAUGGAUCUGGAUCUGAACCCAACCCAAAAAUUAAAAUAUUUAUUUAAUUAUAUUUAAAUGUAUUUUUUAUAUUGGGACUAAAAAUAUAUUACCGGACACGGACCAGAAUAGUGUUUGGGUCCAAGAUUUGGACCUGGACCGAACGGGUCCAAUUUUUAGACCCAUACCCGAAGCCGGAUUGGGUCUACCUCUUACGUCUUGGCUUAGGUUUUUGAAGUAUAUAAAGGUUGCAAUUAUUUUUUAUUUUUGUACUUUUAUUGAGGUUAAUUUAUAGGCUGAGGAUGUUACAUCCCCGAAUUUUGGAAUCCUAAAGUUAAUCCUAGAUUGGGUUUUACUUGAGGGAUGGCAUACUCCUACAUGAGUAUUAUAGUUUGGGAAAGCUAUCUAUGUUCCCCUUACCAUCCAACCAUCUAUUUUUUUUUCAAGAGAGCCACUCAUCAUUUGAUCUUAAAUCCGAUGUAUCAAAUUAUUUUAUUUUUAGUUUUUUUAAUACAAUUUUUCUGAAUAUGAAAUUUGGUAUGUGUCAUCUUCUCAUUGGGGCACACCUAUAAAAAAUAUUAACAUUAAUUUUUUGAUAAAAAUGACCAAAAUACCCCUUGAAACUUUCAGGGGUAUUUUGGUUAUUUUAUUUUAUUGAAAAUAGUUUUUUAUAUUUUUCGUUAAUGCAAGUUUAAUAGAAGAAUGGAUGUCCAAAAUAUGGUGUCAAAACAGUUUAUAGAAAAAAAUUAAAAAUAAAACAGUGUAGAGAUAUGCCAUUGUGAUUGGGGCAAUCUCAGCCCUCCAUUCUAAAAGGGACUGUUGGAUAAAGGAGAACAUCGAACUUCUAUGGUGUCGGGGGAACAUUCAAUGCUUUCCUUUAUAGUCUAUGGCAAACUAAAUAAUGUGAGUAUUUUUAUGUUAGAAAUCAUUUUUUAAAAUAUAGGGCUUGGGCUUCAGCUUGCUACAUGUCUGAGCCCCAAUUCCACCAGUCUCACCUGUGACUCAGAGCCCCCACUACGUCAUUCUCAAAAAAAAAAAAACUCUAUGCAGAAUCCAGUGCUUCUAUUUUUUCUAACUUAAAAUCAUCUAAUAGGUGAACUUAACUAAACUCUGAAUGAUUUUGAGCCAACUCCACAUAACUAUCGAAAUUAGGAAAAAGUUUAUAUAAGGGUAAGGCCCUAAACAAUCAAAUUAAGGUACACCUAAAAAGUUCAUUAAAAAAGGUUGCAUCGAUUUUGAAAAUCCCUGAAUUCGAUCAUCUCGACUUCAAUAUGCAUGGACAUAAGAAAAAAUGCAUUUCAAGUCUUGAAAAUAUUGUAUCUUGUAAUGAAUUAUUGAGAUGGUCAAUAUUUAAGUAUUCAUCGAUACACUAUUUUUUAAUUUUUAAUUUUUUAAUUAGAGGUGAAAAUAAAUUUUCAGUCCAUCAUAAAGAUUUCUGAUAUUGAAACAACACAUUUUGACACUAUUUUAAGGUGUGCCACACUUUGAUUGUUUAGGGCCUUGGCCUUAUACAAACCACACCCUUUAAAUUAAGCUUUAGUAUCUCCCUUUCAAGAUCUUGCAUGUCUCUCUCAUUCCCCAUAGAAUCUGUUUAUACUUAGUGAUAUUUAAUUAGUAUGCAGUUCCUGAAAAAAAAUGCAUAUUUGAAGCCCCUCUCUCCUUGUCCAUUUCAUGAGAGACAAAUUACUCAAUUUUUUUUAAGAAGCCAUGAUACUCAAGUUUAGAAGACCCUUAUUUUAUCAGAUAAAAUUUGUUAGCUUGCAUAAUGCCAUUCUAGAAAAUGCAUUAAUAAUUUGUCUCUUAAGUAAUGGACAAGGAGAGAGUAGGGGGAGAGGUCCUUAAAAUAUACAUCAACCUGGCCCUAGAGCUACUGAGAGGGAACUAUGGGCUGCUGGUUAAAAAUUAGGUUUGGGUGCCCCUAGAGAUAUUGAGAGGGAGCUAUGAACCACUAAUUAAAGGUUAGGUUUAGGACUUCAGGUGCGGGAAGCACAUAGUAUGAUGAGUUCUUGACCUCAUGAAAUUAUAUAAAUAAAAUUUUAUCCUUUCAUGUCUAUAGAGAAGCAAAUGAUUUGGGGGAUGAGUUAAACUAAAAAGGAUGCUUCUCUAACUGAUUUGGUGGUUGCUAAUGAUGUACGUGGGAUGUUAUAAUCUGAAUUUUGUAAUUCCUUGAUUGAUUAAUAGAAGUUUUGAAUAUUUUUCCAAAAAAAAAAAAUAUAAUCUUUGAAAGUUGUGUAUUUUGUAAUUUUUUAAGUUUUUAUUUCAAAAUUUUCAAAGAUUAUUUUGAUCUGCACAAUCUUUGGAGCCCCAAAUUCUUGAAUUUUAAAACCCUUAAAAAGAUGGGGCCUACACAUGAGUUGGUGGUGAACUCUCCAUGAGUUUUUUCUUCUAAUUAAAAUAUACUAUAGUAUAUAUGGACUUGAGAUAAUAUAACCAAAAUCUAAUUAAAAUAUACUAUGGUAUCCAUCAACUCGAUAUACUAUAACCAAAAUCAUACUACAUUUUUAAUAAAGGAAAAAGCUUAUAUAAGGUUGCAACCUUAAAAUGUAGAAUUACAUAUGCACAUAAAAAUCCAUCGGAAAAGAUUGUUUUAAUGUUGAAAAACCUUUGAAUUGAACAUCUCGACAUCGAGAUGUAUGAAUAUAAAAUAAAAUAAAAUAAAAUAUUUUGAAUACCAAAAAUAGUGCAUUGUGCACCACAUUAUCUAGACCGUUCCUUUUCAAGAUUUUCAUAUGUUUAUAGAUCUAUUUGAUUUUAAUCAUUUUUAAAGUUUAAAAUUUUAUUAUUAGAUAUAAAAAUAGAUUUUGAGAUAAUUCUAAUUAUAUUUUACACAAAAAAUACAUGUUAUGAUAAAAUUUGGGGGUGCGCCUUAAUUGGAUUGGAUUGUUUAAGGUUGCAACCUUAUAGAAACCACACCCUUCAUUUAAUAAAUGGUUCUUACGCAACUCGUGUUUGUACAAUUUCAAAAACCGUGCGUCUCUUUCAUGGUUAACACAAUCAACUUCAUAUGAAAAUCUAGUGUUGAAAAACCUUGUAACAGCUAACUAAGCCCUCUUCAUAUUCGACUAUGAAAAUUUGAAGCUCAAAAAAUGGUAUAGAUUCGAUGGAUUAGUGAAAACUUGAAAUUAAUGGUAUAAAAAAAUAUUAUAAAAUAGACAAUUUUUAGACCUUAAAAUCUAGUUUUUUUAGAUCAUCCAGUCUUCAAAUCUGCUUUCUCUGACCAGGCCAAAGAGGCCUCCAUGGCCAACAAUAGCCCUAUUGGGUGAGGUUGUGUUAGAUAAAAGAAAAAUAAGUUGAAAGGAAAAGUUAAGAAAGGAAUGAAUGGUGGGCUGGGCCAGGUUGGCCCUUUUGUGGCUUGGCCAUGGCCAUGGCCCGGCCAGCACAGCCCUCAAACCACAUUUUGUGUUUCAAACCCUAGUUUUUUAGGGCCAGGCUGGGCCACCUAGCCUAUUGCCACCCCUACUGUUGCAAACACACAUCUUACAUGCGUCGAUGUUGCACGCAUCAUGUCCCGCCAACUAAACUUUGCAACUUAGGCCCUAGUUUCUCUAGGACCGGGCUGGGAUGGGUCAUCGGGUCUAUUGCUAACUACUACUACUAUUGCAAAUGCACAUUGUACAUAUAUAGAUGUUGCAAGCAUCGCAUCGUACUAAAAGUUGUAAUAUGACCAUGUAUUUUUGGUUCAAGAAGGUCGCACUUAUCUUUAGCCAUCAAAUAUGAAAUUUAAUGGCUCAAAGUGUGUCACAUAGUUCGAGAAAUUUUAUUUUGGAUCUUAUGCCUAGUCAAUGACAUCUCCAACAUCCAAUUUCACAUCCAACGGUCAAUGAUGAUUGUUUCCUUUGUAUCAAAAUUAAAUGGUCUUAUUAUAUAUAUUCCCUUUUAUUAAUGAUUCCCCGUGCAACUAGUGUUCAGCUCAGGGCCAUUCACCCUAGGGAAAGAUAACCAAAUCUUGAAAACCCUUGCCCAUAUCGAACAAGACAUUAAAUCUAUUAGAAAACUAUGUGAUCCAGUCACCCACAAAGACAUUAAAUCUAUUAGAAAACUAUGUGAACCAGUCACCCACAAAUGUGACAUAUAUUAUUAUCAGAUAUAACUUUGAUUUAUCUAAUGCUAAAUUUAAUACCAUUCUUAACAUGAUCCUAUGAAUACAUGUUCAAAUGCACAAAACUAUGGGAAACUCGAUAGAACAAGACAUUAAAUCUAUUAGAAAACUAUGUCAUCAUUCACCAUAAAUAUGAUUAUAUUAUUAUCAAAUAUAACAUUGAUAUGUCUAUUGCUAAAUUUAAUACCAUUCUUAACAUGAUCUUAUGAAGACAUUUUUAGAAGUGCACUAAAACUACGGCAAAAAUGGCCGCCUCCUUCCCAAUAAUUCAUUUACUAAGGGACAAUUUAUUACCUUGUCCAUAGAAAGGGAAAACACCUAGUUUUUACCUCAAACAAAAAUAUACCAUGAUCCAUACGACCAUAUUCAGAUAUGUGGUCGUGGAGGUUAUCGUCAUCCAAUCGAGGGGUUUUAUGGCGAUUGAGCGAGUGGGACCUAUCAAAUUUGCCAUUAACUAAAGGAAAAAGCUUAUAUAAGCUUUAGUCCCUAAACAAUCAAAUUAAGGUGCACCUUAAAAAAUCAGUAAAAGAUGUUUGGAUGUUGAAAAAUCGUCAGAUCAAAUCAUCUUGACUUUAAGAUACAUAAACAAAAAUAAAUGUCUAAGUCUUGAAGAUAGUACAUCUUAUAAUGCAUUAUCUAGACCGUCAAUUUUCAAGAUUUUCUACUGUUCAUAGAUCCAUUUGAUAUGCACUGUUUUUUAAGCUAGAAGUUUUGUAACUAGAGAUAAAAUAAAGUUUCAAUCCAUCAUAAAGAUUUUUGGUGCUGAAAUCUUUCGACCCUAUUUGAAGGCAACACUUUGAUUGUUUAGGGCCUCAACCUUGUACAAACCACACCCCCUAACUUUCUCAUCGCUGACCAAAUUAGGUUGUGUUCUUGACUUCUUCACAUCACAACAUUGCUGCAAGUGUGGCAUUGCAAUAUAGCACUAUCAGUGAUUGAUUGAAAAAUCGGCCGAGUACGUUAAUUACUUGAGCUCGAGGUCUUGCCGAGAUUUAGUUGUUCCGAAUUGGGUGUCUAACUCAAGGAUAUUAAAUUUUUUUUAAAAAAAUAAAAAAUUAUAAAAAGAUAAAAAAAUAAAAAAUUAUUUGGAAUAUAUUUUUUAAUGUCUUUGAAAAAGGUUGGAAAGUAUUUUGGCCAUAAAUAAUUAUUUUUAUAUUUUUCUAUCUUUUUUGGAUUAUUUCAAAAAUACCCCCCCGUCACAAGUUAAUUUUUAAAAUAUAUUUUUUUGCUAUUUGUUUAGCAUUUUUUUGAAGUAUUUUGUUUAAUCUCACUUUAAACAUAUAUUUUCUAUUUUUUUUGGAUUUGUUUUUGUAUUUUUUAUAAUUUCGAUUUUUAUUUUUGCUCCAUCAAUAUGGUGCACUAGUCAAGCCCAAUUAUUUGGACUAAGCCCGGUCCGAGUUGCACUUUCUAAGGCUGAGCAAUAUCACAAGCAGGAAUCACGGAUGGUAAUAUCAUUAUGUGGAGUUGCAUGUUAUGUGUGGCAUAUUCAAGUCAAGAAUAGCGAUGUCACAAGAAGAAGACGUAUGCAGUGACGUUGCAAAACUCACUACAUCCGUGAGAUUGAGAUGGAUUCCAAUCGUGUGCAAUGACUCAUUUAGCAGUUAUGACUGUUGGGUAUCCAUAUGCAAGAUGAGCGAUUUAAAAAACAGAUCGGCAGCCUCGGUCAGGGAUUGUAAAAAUUGGUAUGGAUCAGUGAAUUGGCCUUAUUGUGCGGAAAAAAUAUCGAUAUGGCAAAAAACCGGUUCGUAUCGGUAAAUCAAUGUUUCUAUUGUAGCAAAAAACUAUUUUAUUGUAGCAAAUCGCCGGUUCUCUUCUAGACCUGGAUGAUUUCUUAUGUAUUGAUAAAAUUGAUAUGAGAUGAUUGAUUCUCGAGUCGAACCAAAAAAUUUUAUGGCGACCCGAUGCUUUUAAAUCAUUGGUUGUAACUGAUGAGCUAUGUAUGAUUUGAGCAGCAACUCCUCAACGUUCAGUUACAAUAAUUGAAUAUCUUAUGCUUAGUUGCCCAAAUUAGAAGGGCACUUUCUGUCUCUCUCUCUCUCUAUUUGACUUUUGG